This 220-nucleotide unclassified non-coding RNA is filed under the name uncultured Tomentella. RNAcentral's name for it is "sequence contains ITS2". Lineage: Eukaryota; Fungi; Basidiomycota; Agaricomycetes; Thelephorales; Thelephoraceae. RNAcentral also lists the same sequence under 1 other name. The record is from RNAcentral.
ACACCUCAACUCCUCAUGGUUUUCUAUGAUGAGCUUGGACUUUGGGGGUUUGCUGGCCCAUUCGGUCAGCUCCUCUCAAAUGAAUCAGCUUACCAGUGUUUGGGGGCACCACAGGUGUGAUAACAAUCUACGCUUGAGGUUUUCCACCAUGUAACCUUCAGCAAUGGGGUUUCACUGGGGCUCACAAAUGUCUUUCUUCAGUGAGGACAGCUCUUUGAAC